GGGAUCUUUUGAACUCUAGAGAUAGAGCUUCCCCUUCGGGGGCAAAGUGACAGGUGGUGCAUGGUUGUCGUCAGCUCGUGUCGUGAGAUGUUGGGUUAAGUCCCGCAACGAGCGCAACCCUUAUUGUUAGUUGCCAUCAUUCAGUUGGGCACUCUAGCAAGACUGCCGGUGACAAACCGGAGGAAGGUGGGGAUGACGUCAAAUCAUCAUGCCCCUUAUGACCUGGGCUACACACGUGCUACAAUGGGAAGUACAACGAGUUGCGAAGUCGCGAGGCUAAGCUAAUCUCUUAAAGCUUCUCUCAGUUCGGAUUGCAGGCUGCAACUCGCCUGCAUGAAGCCGGAAUCGCUAGUAAUCGCGGAUCAGCACGCCGCGGUGAAUACGUUCCCGGGUCUUGUACACACCGAG
Molecule: ribosomal RNA, 408 nt
Filed under: Enterococcus faecium
Lineage: Bacteria; Bacillati; Bacillota; Bacilli; Lactobacillales; Enterococcaceae
Description: bacterial SSU rRNA
Rfam family: Bacterial small subunit ribosomal RNA
Source: RNAcentral